CUUUCUUUUGACUGUACCGUGUGAAUUUUGGUAUGAGCCAACGAGGACUGAGUGAGUAAAAAGUUAAAGCGAUUCAGAGCGCCAAGAAAGUAGACCGAUCAUGGCUCCCACUUCAGAGACGGAGUGAAAAUCGAACGCGAAACUGAGUUUCUUCUUCCAAGAUCGGUUGUGGCUGAUCGUUGAAUUGAGGAGUUUUUAGUGUAUUAGGGUUUGUUUUCCUUUCCAAUUCGGACUCCGAAAUGGCGAGUCCGCAGUCGGCUGGACUUACUUUGAGUUCCGGUAAGGGUUUGUCUUUGACUCCAGGGUCUAGGGUUUUGCAAACCCCACUUGCCGAUGAAGCUAUAUGGAGGCGUCUGAAAGAAGCUGGUUUCGACGAGGAAUCAAUUAAACGUAGGGAUAAAGCUGCGCUUAUAGCUUAUAUAGCGAAGCUCGAAGCUGAGAUGUUUGACCACCAACACCAUAUGGGCCUUCUCAUACUAGAAAGGAAGGAGUUGGCUUCAGAUUACGAGCAGAUGAAAAGUAAAGCUGAGACAGCUGAAUUAAUGUAUAGGCGUGACCAAGCUGCUCAUUUGUCAGCUUUAACUGAAGCAAAGAAACGGGAGGACAAUUUGAAGAAGGCUAUUGGUAUCAAAGAAGAAUGUGUAGCAAGUCUUGAGAAGGCUUUGCACGAAAUGCGUCUAGAAUCUGCUGAAAUCAAGGUUGCAGCUGAAAGUAGACUGGCUGAAGCACGCAUUAUGAUGGAGGAUGCUCAGAAGAAAUUUGUUGAGGCCGAAGCCAAACUACAUGCAGCAGAAUCUUUACAAGCGGAAUCUAACCGGUGUAAUCGUGCUGCAGAAAGAAAGCUCCAUGAAGUUGAGGCACGGGAAGAUGAUCUAAGGAGGCGUAUGGCUUGUUUCAAGUCUGAUUGUGAUAAGAAAGGGGAGGAGAUUGUGCUUGAGAGGCAAUCUUUAAGUGAAAGACAGAAAGCAUUGCAGCAGGAGCAUGAGAGAUUACUUGAUGGACAAGCUUUGCUUAAUCAGCGGGAGGAGUAUAUAUUAAGCAAGACUCAAGAGCUAAGUCGAUCUGAAAAAGAGUUGGAGGAGUUAAGAGCUAGCAUUGAGAAUGAGCGCAGAGCAGUUCAUGAUGAGAAGUCCAAGAUGCAACUUUAUGAAGCGUCUUUAUCAAAGAGAGAAGAGGCUGUCAAUAGAAUGGAAAUUAUGAUGAACAGGAGACAGCAAGAGCUACUUGUUUUAGAGGAAAAAAUUGCAACAAAAGAAACCAAUGAAAUUCAAAAAGUUGUUGCGAACCAUGAAAGUACUUUGAGAACAAAGAUAUCAGACUUUGAUGCUGAGCUGCAAAUUAAGCAAAAAGCAGUUGAAGAUGAAAUUGAAAGCAAAAGACGUGCCUGGGAGUUGAGAGAGAUGGACCUUAAACAGCGGGAUGAGCAAAUCUUGGAAAAGGAAUAUGACUUGGAGGUUCAAUCUAGAUCGUUGGUAGCAAAGGAGAAAGAGGUAGAAGAAUUAUCCAAGUCUCUUGAUGAGAAAGAGAAGAACCUGAAGGCUCUUGAACAAGAGCUUGAACUUAGUAAAGUACUCCUGCAGAAAGAGAAAGACGAGUGCUCUAAAAUGAAACGAGAUCUUCAGUGCUCCCUUGAUUCUCUCGAAGACAGAAGAAAACAAGUUGAUUGUGCAAAGGACAAGCUUGAAGCCUUUAGGAGUGAAACAAAUGAAUUAUCCCUACUAGAGAUGAAGCUUAAAGAAGAACUUGAUUCAGUUAGAGUCCAGAAAUUGGAAUUGAUGGAUGAGGCAGAUAAGUUGAUGGUUGAGAAGGCCAAAUUUGAAGCUGAGUGGGAAAUGAUUGAUGAAAAAAGAGAGGAGCUGCGCACUGAAGCUGAAAUUCUAGCUGCAGAGCGGUUAGCUGUGUCCAAGUUUAUCAAAGAUGAACGUGAUGGUCUUAGAUUGGAGAGGGAGGUAAUGCGAAAACAAUUCAAGAAUGAUAGGGAGACACUUUCUCGUGAGCGUGAGGAAUUCUUGAACAAGAUGACAUGUGAACGGUCUGAGUGGUUGAAUAAAAUGCAGCAAGAACGUAAAGACUUGCUAAUGGAUGUUGAGGCACAGAAGAAGGAGCUUGAGAAUUGUCUUGAGCAGAGGCGUGAAGAAUUAGAAGGCCAGUUGAGGGAAAAACUAAAGAACUUUGAGCAAGAAAAGAAGAACGAACUGGAUAAAAUUAACUUCCUUAAAGACAAAGCAACUAAGGAUUUGGAAGAGGUUGCAUUGGAAACAAAAAAACUUGAAACUGAGAGAAUGGAAAUUAAUUUAGAUCGUGAAAGAAGAAACAGAGAAUGGGCCGAACUGAACAAUUCCAUCGAGGAACUCAAGGUUCAAAGGGAGAAACUAGAAAAACAGAGAGAGUUAUUGCAUGCUGACAGGGAGGAAAUUCUUGCUGAUAUUGAACGUUUAAAGAAAUUUGAAAAUCUGAAAGUUGCAUUGGACAAUAUGGCUGUGGCUGAGAUGAACCAAUCUGAUUUAGACGUUGCUCAGCCAAUAAGUUAUCCAAGAAGGCGGCCACUUGUUAGAGAUGCUGAGCACCAGAUAGAUACUCAAAAGAUUACUAAUGGCUUUGACUCCCCAUCUGUUCUUAAAGUAGAUGGUGAUUUACCUCCUACUUCUACUCGUUUCUCAUGGAUUAAACGUUGCUCUGAGUUGAUAUUCAAGCAAUCUCCGGAGAGAGAGAGGGCGCCUACAAGAUAUCCUGUUAAAAAUCCAAUCAAUCAGGCUGACCAAUCAAGCUCAAUAUCUGGACAGCUCUUUCAGUCUCCUGAGUUUGAAAUGGAUAGGGGUAAUGAGAAGUCUCAAAGAACUAUUACUGAAAGGCAGGAUGUGAAAUAUGCAAUUGGAGAACCGAAAGUAAUUGUUGAAGUACCGCCAGCAAACAAGAACAUGAAUGGAGUACCUGUUCUUGAAUCUGAGAUUGUCGAUGAUGUUACAUUGUCUGAUCAUAGGGUUUUGACUGGAAAGAAAAGGAGAGCUACCAACAUUACUCAUCCUGAUUCCUUAGGACAACUGGAGUUUGAAAAUAACAAUAAGAAGCAGAGACAAGAAGAAAUAUCUGGGGAUCCUACAGAGGAUGAUUCUAGUUGCCCUGAAGAAGCAACCCAAAUGAACAUGCCUGAGGAUCCUAAGGCAUUUGUGUCAUCCACAGAUAACCAGGAAAAUGCCAAGGAGGCUGAAGUUGUUAUUGUAAGUACAGACAUCAACAUCAUUGAAGUUACAACCUAUAAACAGAAGAACUCUGACAUGUCAUCUGACCAUCAGGAAACUAUUUCAGAAAAGUGUUGAUAUCUAUGUAAUGGUUCAGCAUCUACGCUUAGGAUAUGUUGAACAAUCUGCUGUUUGCUGUCAGGUAUUACAUCUCCUCGAGAGUUAAGAGAAUUGUGCAGAGAGUCCUAAGAAGAAGCGAAAGAAAAAUUCUUGACAUUUUGAGAAAGGAAUGUGUGAAGCAGUUAUUCGAGAAUAUAUAUGUUUUUAUUGUUUGCUUUGGUCUUCUUGUGGCGAUGAAUCAAACCAAUUUUUGGCGGAGCUUGUGUUGAAGUGUCGUGGCUUCACCCAUCCUCCAAGGCAUAGAUAUAGAGGAGCUUUAAUUUCUAGCAUGUUAAUAUCAUCUAAAUUGCUCCAAUUUAAGAUGUCAAUACACAUAGAGUUUGAUAGUAUAAAAGGGAUUUGAAUAUCAUUUCAUGUUUUAGUAGCCAUGCCUUGAAGGUAAGGGGGUUGUUGAUCUUUGGGUGGUGUGUAUAUGAUUCUUUUGUUGACUCUGUGUUUGUUAAAGGAAUGGGUUUGUAAAAUGUUCUCUUUGCUUUUUAUGGAUGCGCUUAAAAUAUUUUAGUUGAAUCCUCAGAUUUA
RNA transcript from Cucumis sativus (cucumber), 3878 nucleotides. It is a transcript of the gene named protein CROWDED NUCLEI 4, with no coding region annotated. The transcript has 9 exons. The record is from RefSeq and is a predicted model, not a curated record. NCBI's taxonomy places the organism in Eukaryota, Viridiplantae, Streptophyta, Magnoliopsida, Cucurbitales, Cucurbitaceae.